Molecule: ribosomal RNA, 432 nt
Filed under: uncultured bacterium
Lineage: Bacteria
Description: partial 16S ribosomal RNA
Rfam family: Bacterial small subunit ribosomal RNA
Source: RNAcentral
CCUACGGGGGGCAGCAGUGAGGAAUAUUGGUCAAUGGGCGAGAGCCUGAACCAGCCAAGUAGCGUGCAGGAUGACGGCCUAUGGGUUGUAAACUGCUUUUAUGCGGGGAUAGGUACCGCAUGAAUAAGGACCGGCUAAUUCCGUGCCAGCAGCCGCGGUAAUACGGAAGGUCCGGGCGUUAUCCGGAUUUAUUGGGUUUAAAGGGAGCGUAGGCCGCUUUGUAAGCGUGUUGUGAAAUUUGCCGGCUCAACCGGUAACUUGCAGCGCGAACUGCAGAGCUUGAGUGUGCGCAACGUUGGCGGAAUUCGUCGUGUAGCGGUGAAAUGCUUAGAUAUGACGAAGAACUCCGAUUGCGAAGGCAGCUGACGGGAGCACACUGACGCUGAAGCUCGAAAGUGCGGGUAUCGAACAGGAUUAGAUACCCUUGUAGUC